UACGGAGGAGGCAAGCGUUAUCCGGAAUUAUUGGGCGUAAAGCGUCCGCAGGUGGCUAUUCAAGUCUGCGGUCAAAGACUGGGGCUUAACCCCAGAAAGGCGGUGGAAACUGAACAGCUAGAGAGAGGUAGGGGUAGAGGGAAUUCCCAGUGUAGCGGUGAAAUGCGUAGAUAUUGGGAAGAACAUCAGUGGCGAAAGCGCUCUACUGGACCUUAUCUGACAUUGAGGGACGAAAGCUAGGGGAGCGAAUGGG
RNAcentral lists this ribosomal RNA (253 nucleotides) under uncultured bacterium. RNAcentral's name for it is "partial 16S ribosomal RNA". It matches the Rfam family "Bacterial small subunit ribosomal RNA", at positions 524 to 776 of the family's 1533-position model. The record is from RNAcentral.